CUUUACUCUUUUGAACUUGAACUUCAAAGUUUACCGUAGUUUUGAUGGAACCGAACCUGGAGAACAAAGUUUUCUCUUCCACUCACAUCUCUGGAGCGAGUGCUACCUUCCGCCACCAAUAACAAGGAGUCAAUAAGAAAACAUAGAGAAGAUAGGGAGGAGAUUUCAAAGGAAGGAGGCCGUCAUCAUUGCUUCCAGACAUGAUCAGUUUCAAUAUUGCUGAGAGACUUGGCUUGGAAGAUGCCUUCGUGUUAUUUCUUCCAGUACAUAUGUUCAUGGAUUUUUAAUUUUGAUUGUUUUUUUUUUCAAAUAAAUUUUUGAGUUUCAUUACGUAUAUCAAAGAAGUAGAAAUUCCCCUUUUUUCCUUC
Long non-coding RNA from Nelumbo nucifera (sacred lotus), 368 nucleotides. RefSeq lists it as uncharacterized. Lineage: Eukaryota; Viridiplantae; Streptophyta; Magnoliopsida; Proteales; Nelumbonaceae. The record is from RefSeq and is a predicted model, not a curated record.